GAUAGCGUGGCCGAGCGGUCUAAGGCGCUGGAAUUAAGUUCCAGUCUAUUUGGGGACGUGGGUUCGAAUCCCAACGCUAUCA
RNAcentral lists this transfer RNA (82 nucleotides) under Callorhinchus milii (elephant shark). RNAcentral describes it as "tRNA-Leu (TAA) (tRNA-Leu-TAA-7-1)". It matches the Rfam family "tRNA". Rfam says of the family: Transfer RNA (tRNA) molecules are approximately 80 nucleotides in length. Their secondary structure includes four short double-helical elements and three loops (D, anti-codon, and T loops). Lineage: Eukaryota; Metazoa; Chordata; Chondrichthyes; Chimaeriformes; Callorhinchidae. The record is from Rfam by way of RNAcentral.